Non-coding RNA from Lactuca sativa (garden lettuce), 389 nucleotides. NCBI's taxonomy places the organism in Eukaryota, Viridiplantae, Streptophyta, Magnoliopsida, Asterales, Asteraceae. The record is from RefSeq and is a predicted model, not a curated record.
GACGCAUAAGAGAUUACUUUGAUGCAGAUUAAAACUAACUCCUUUGAUUUUGCUUUUAAAACGAUCGCUUAAAAGAUGGAGCAAAAUUUGAAGAUGGUGUUCAUGGUCAUGUUAUUGCUUUCCAUGUCUGGUUUGUUUAUCUCAUCGGUUUUGGCUGACAAAGGCUCGUUAAUGUCCAACGAAUCGUGUGGUCCCAAUGGAACGCCAUGUGAAAGAAUGUGUCGAGUUGGCUUUCCUAGAUGUUGUAAUGAUGUUUGCGAGUGUUAUCCUUGCAAUUAAUUUUAAUAUUAUAUUUAAUAUCAUAAACAUAAAAGGAUGGUGUUUAAGUGUGUUUGUUCCCAAAAAAAUCUAUGAAAUAUAAAAUUCAUCCUGCGAAGGAUUUAUUAUUA